CCUACGGGGGGCAGCAGUGGGGAAUAUUGGACAAUGGGGGGAACCCUGAUCCAGCCAUGCCGCGUGUGUGAAGAAGGCCUUUUGGUUGUAAAGCACUUUAAGUGGGGAGGAGGCUUACCUGGUUAAUACCUGGGCUAAGUGGACGUUACCCACAGAAUAAGCACCGGCUAACUCUGUGCCAGCAGCCGCGGUAAUACAGAGGGUGCGAGCGUUAAUCGGAUUUACUGGGCGUAAAGCGCGCGUAGGUGGUUAAUUAAGUCAAAUGUGAAAUCCCCGA
Molecule: ribosomal RNA, 277 nt
Filed under: uncultured Acinetobacter sp.
Lineage: Bacteria; Pseudomonadati; Pseudomonadota; Gammaproteobacteria; Moraxellales; Moraxellaceae
Description: partial 16S ribosomal RNA
Rfam family: Bacterial small subunit ribosomal RNA
Source: RNAcentral